This 253-nucleotide ribosomal RNA is filed under the name uncultured bacterium. RNAcentral's name for it is "partial 16S ribosomal RNA". It matches the Rfam family "Bacterial small subunit ribosomal RNA", at positions 524 to 776 of the family's 1533-position model. The record is from RNAcentral.
UACAUAGGUCCCAAGCGUUGUUCGGAUUCCUUGGGCGUAAAGGGUGCGUAGGCGGUGCGGUAAGUCUGGUGUGAAAUCCCGGGGCUCAACCCCGGAACUGCACUGGAUACUGCUUUACUAGAGUACUGGAGAGGGAACUGGAAUUUACGGUGUAGCAGUGAAAUGCGUAGAUAUCGUAAGGAAGACCAGUGGCGAAGGCGAGUUCCUGGACAGUUACUGACGCUGAGGCACGAAGGCCAGGGGAGCAAACGGG